This 785-nucleotide ribosomal RNA is filed under the name Lentilactobacillus buchneri. Its description in RNAcentral is "bacterial SSU rRNA". It matches the Rfam family "Bacterial small subunit ribosomal RNA", at positions 9 to 750 of the family's 1533-position model. Lineage: Bacteria; Bacillati; Bacillota; Bacilli; Lactobacillales; Lactobacillaceae. The record is from RNAcentral.
GAGUUUGAUCAUGGCUCAGGACGAACGCUGGCGGCGUGCCUAAUACAUGCAAGUCGAACGCGUCUCCGUUAAUGAUUUUAGGUGCUUGCACUUGAAAGAUUUAACAUUGAGACGAGUGGCGAACUGGUGAGUAACACGUGGGUAACCUGCCCUUGAAGUAGGGGAUAACACUUGGAAACAGGUGCUAAUACCGUAUAACAACCAAAACCACCUGGUUUUGGUUUAAAAGACGGCUUCGGCUGUCACUUUAGGAUGGACCCGCGGCGUAUUAGCUUGUUGGUAAGGUAACGGCUUACCAAGGCGAUGAUACGUAGCCGACCUGAGAGGGUAAUCGGCCACAUUGGGACUGAGACACGGCCCAAACUCCUACGGGAGGCAGCAGUAGGGAAUCUUCCACAAUGGACGAAAGUCUGAUGGAGCAACGCCGCGUGAGUGAUGAAGGGUUUCGGCUCGUAAAACUCUGUUGUUGGAGAAGAACAGGUGUCAGAGUAACUGUUGACAUCUUGACGGUAUCCAACCAGAAAGCCACGGCUAACUACGUGCCAGCAGCCGCGGUAAUACGUAGGUGGCAAGCGUUGUCCGGAUUUAUUGGGCGUAAAGCGAGCGCAGGCGGUUUUUUAGGUCUGAUGUGAAAGCCUUCGGCUUAACCGGAGAAGUGCAUCGGAAACCGGGAGACUUGAGUGCAGAAGAGGACAGUGGAACUCCAUGUGUAGCGGUGAAAUGCGUAGAUAUAUGGAAGAACACCAGUGGCGAAGGCGGCUGUCUGGUCUGUAACUGACGCUGAG